Molecule: ribosomal RNA, 490 nt
Filed under: uncultured bacterium
Lineage: Bacteria
Description: partial 16S ribosomal RNA
Rfam family: Bacterial small subunit ribosomal RNA
Source: RNAcentral
AGGGAAAGAGGGAGGCAGGAAGAACAAAGGCAAGUCGAACGGUAACAGGAAGCAGCUUGCUGCUUUGCUGACGAGUGGCGGACGGGUGAGUAAUGUCUGGGAAACUGCCCGAUGGAGGGGGAUAACUACUGGAAACGGUAGCUAAUACCGCAUAACGUCGCAAGACCAAAGAGGGGGACCUUAGGGCCUCUUGCCAUCGGAUGUGCCCAGAUGGGAUUAGCUAGUAGGUGGGGUAACGGCUCACCUAGGCGACGAUCCCUAGCUGGUCUGAGAGGAUGACCAGCCACACUGGAACUGAGACACGGUCCAGACUCCUACGGGAGGCAGCAGUGGGGAAUAUUGCACAAUGGGCGCAAGCCUGAUGCAGCCAUGCCGCGUGUAUGAAGAAGGCCUUCGGGUUGUAAAGUACUUUCAGCGGGGAGGAAGGGAGUAAAGUUAAUACCUUUGCUCAUUGACGUUACCCGCAGAAGAAGCACCGGCUAACUCCGUU